UACGUAGGGUGCGAGCGUUAAUCGGAAUUACUGGGCGUAAAGCGUGCGCAGGCGGUCUGUUAAGACCGAUGUGAAAUCCCCGGGCUUAACCUGGGAACUGCAUAGGUGACUGGCAGGCUUUGAGUGUGGCAGAGGGAGGUAGAAUUCCACGUGUAGCAGUGAAAUGCGUAGAGAUGUGGAGGAAUACCGAUGGCGAAGGCAGCCUCCUGGGCCAACACUGACGCUCAUGCACGAAAGCGUGGGGAGCAAACAGG
Molecule: ribosomal RNA, 254 nt
Filed under: uncultured bacterium
Lineage: Bacteria
Description: partial 16S ribosomal RNA
Rfam family: Bacterial small subunit ribosomal RNA
Source: RNAcentral